Molecule: long non-coding RNA, 1224 nt
Organism: Brassica oleracea var. oleracea
Lineage: Eukaryota; Viridiplantae; Streptophyta; Magnoliopsida; Brassicales; Brassicaceae
Exons: 5
Source: RefSeq, a predicted model, not a curated record
AAAAGCAAGUCGCGUGUUUUCUGUUUCAAGGGUUGAACCCUUAUUCUUCUCUGCCAUCGUGAUGUAGUCUCAACCUCUAGGGUUUCGAUUCGUCUUCUUCCUCCAACCCUGAUUUUUACCAGUUUCAGAUUCAUCUUCUUAAAGUCCUCCUUGAUUCCAUUAUCCACGAUCUACAUUUAUUUUUUGCUUCGCUCUUGCAAAACGGUGGAAACCUCUCAGUAUAUAAAGUUUUUCUUUCUGACUCGAAGUCUGGAAGAUGUUCUUCCACAAUUGAGAUGAGGUUGUUUCGUUUCUAGGAGGCGAAGAAUAUUGGGCGGCGAGCCUAUGGGCGUCUACAUACUCCACCUCGGCGUUAAGGUAAUUCCGGCGAAAGUAAUAAUAAAUCUCUUUCCUUUUCAAUGAAGAUAUUUGAGCUUUACAAUUUACGAUACCAAACAUUUGACAAUUACAGGCUCUUUGAUUUGAUUUCUGGGUUAUUUUUAGUUCUGUUCACGUUUUUUUUUUUGGUUUUAGUAUAUAGCCAUCGAAGAAAAAAUUCGAUUAUGUUCUUCACACUUCAGAGUCUGAACCUUGGCACUUGAAUCAUCUUAUGGCUUUGCUUUUCCAUCCGUUGAAAUUUAUCGCCUUAACUCAUUGUCUUGAAAACUCUUGAUUCCAAUGAUUUGUAUGGUGCAUCAUGAGGAUCUGAUAAGUUUAAACAUUCGUCACCUAGAUACUGUCUUAUUUGAUAGAUCUAACAUCAACCAGAGUUUGGAAAACAAAUUUAAAGAUAUGAAAAAUGUUUAAAAGAAGCUCUAUGAUCUACAUAAUACUAAGAGCUCUGUCUAAUAUAUGUUACAUUAAGUCUUUGAUUUGUAGUUUGGUUCUUAUUGUUCCAGGUUCUUCUUCUACUUGAUGCAGGUUGCCCUUGGUCGUUCUGCUUCUGAUUGCAAUCCGUCAUGCGAUUUUUGAAGUCUCCAAGUUUAUCUGUUUCAUGGUGAAGCUCGACAUCUUUUUACAGAUAUGCCAAAGGGAAAGUUGAAAAACUUAUUUUACGCUUAUGGCUUAUUUAAAGCUUAUGAAGGAUUAGAAUUUUCAAGGACCGGAAGCACUGCAGUUAAAAACGGUUUUUGAUUAGAACUUUUGCCAGCUUGAUAAACAACCAAGCUUGAUUGUAUUGUAUGUGUAUCUUAUCGAAUUUUGUUAAACAGAAAUAUCUCUACUGUAAAAGUCUUUUUGUAUGUU